This 495-nucleotide ribosomal RNA is filed under the name Lactiplantibacillus plantarum. RNAcentral describes it as "bacterial SSU rRNA". It matches the Rfam family "Bacterial small subunit ribosomal RNA", at positions 394 to 881 of the family's 1533-position model. Lineage: Bacteria; Bacillati; Bacillota; Bacilli; Lactobacillales; Lactobacillaceae. The record is from RNAcentral.
ACGCCGCGUGAGUGAAGAAGGGUUUCGGCUCGUAAAACUCUGUUGUUAAAGAAGAACAUAUCUGAGAGUAACUGUUCAGGUAUUGACGGUAUUUAACCAGAAAGCCACGGCUAACUACGUGCCAGCAGCCGCGGUAAUACGUAGGUGGCAAGCGUUGUCCGGAUUUAUUGGGCGUAAAGCGAGCGCAGGCGGUUUUUUAAGUCUGAUGUGAAAGCCUUCGGCUUAACCGAAGAAGUGCAUCGGAAACUGGGAAACUUGAGUGCAGAAGAGGACAGUGGAACUCCAUGUGUAGCGGUGAAAUGCGUAGAUAUAUGGAAGAACACCAGUGGCGAAGGCGGCUGUCUGGUCUGUAACUGACGCUGAGGCUCGAAAGUAUGGGUAGCAAACAGGAUUAGAUACCCUGGUAGUCCAUACCGUAAACGAUGAAUGCUAAGUGUUGGAGGGUUUCCGCCCUUCAGUGCUGCAGCUACGCAUUAAGCAUUCCGCCUGGGGAGU